Molecule: ribosomal RNA, 393 nt
Filed under: uncultured bacterium
Lineage: Bacteria
Description: bacterial SSU rRNA
Rfam family: Bacterial small subunit ribosomal RNA
Source: RNAcentral
GACGAACGCUGGCGGCGUGCUUAACACAUGCAAGUCGAGCGGUAAGGCCCUUUCGGGGGUACACGAGCGGCGAACGGGUGAGUAACACGUGGGUGACCUGCCCUCAGCUCUGGGAUAAGCCUGGGAAACCGGGUCUAAUACCGGAUAUGACUCCAUGACACAUGUUGUGGGGUGGAAAGCCUUGUGCGGCUGAGGAUGGGCCCGCGGCCUAUCAGCUUGUUGGUGGGGNGAUGGCCUACCAAGGCGACGACGGGUAGCCGGCCUGAGAGGGCGACCGGCCACACUGGGACUGAGACACGGCCCAGACUCCUACGGGAGGCAGCAGUGGGGAAUCUUGCGCAAUGGGCGAAAGCCUGACGCAGCGACGCCGCGUGAGGGAUGACGGCCUGGUGU